RNAcentral lists this ribosomal RNA (294 nucleotides) under Triticum aestivum (bread wheat). RNAcentral's name for it is "partial small subunit ribosomal RNA". The record is from RNAcentral. Lineage: Eukaryota; Viridiplantae; Streptophyta; Magnoliopsida; Poales; Poaceae.
AUGGAAAGUGUUCAAUUAGAACAUGAAAACGUGACUCAAUUGGUCUUAGUUAGUCUUCGGGGCGGAGUGGAAGAAGGGCGGAGACUCUCGAACAAGGAAAAGGAUCCCUUCGAAAGAAUUGACCGAGGAGAUGUACGAGGUGAAAAUCUCAUGUACGGUUCUCUCUCUCUCUCUCUCUCUCUCUCUCUCUCUCUCUCUCUCUCUUGGAAAAAAAUGCUAGACACAACUUUCGUUGGUGGUGCGUUAUUUUCAAGCAACGUCAUCACUAUAUUUUACAAAAAGUGGCGGCGUUGA